UAACACUAACUGGAGGACCGAACCGACUAAUGUUGAAAAAUUAGCGGAUGACCUGUGGCUGGGGGUGAAAGGCCAAUCAAACCGGGAGAUAGCUGGUUCUCCCCGAAAGCUAUUUAGGUAGCGCCUCGUGAAUUCAUCUCCGGGGGUAGAGCACUGUUUCGGCUAGGGGGCCAUCCCGGCUUACCAACCCGAUGCAAACUGCGAAUACCGGAGAAUGUUAUCACGGGAGACACACGGCGGGUGCUAACGUCCGUCGUGAAGAGGGAAACAACCCAGACCGCCAGCUAAGGUCCCAAAGUCAUGGUUAAGUGGGAAACGAUGUGGGAAGGCCCAGACAGCCAGGAUGUUGGCUUAGAAGCAGCCAUCAUUUAAAGAAAGCGUAAUAGCUCACUGGUCGAGUCGGCCUGCGCGGAAGAUGUAACGGGGCUAAACCAUGCACCGAAGCUGCGGCAGCGACACUGUGUGUUGUUGGGUAGGGGAGCGUUCUGUAAGCCUGUGAAGGUGUGUCGUGAGGCAUGCUGGAGGUAUCAGAAGUGCGAAUGCUGACAUAAGUAACGAUAAAGCGGGUGAAAAGCCCGCUCGCCGGAAGACCAAGGGUUCCUGUCCAACGUUAAUCGGGGCAGGGUGAGUCGACCCCUAAGGCGAGGCCGAAAGGCGUAGUCGAUGGGAAACGGGUUAAUAUUCCCGUACUUGGUGUUACUGCGAAGGGGGGACGGAGAAGGCUAUGUUGGCCGGGCGACGGUUGUCCCGGUUUAAGCGUGUAGGUGUGUGUUCCAGGUAAAUCCGGUUCACUUUAACACUGAGGCGUGACGACGAGGCACUACGGUGCUGAAGCAACAAAUGCCCUGCUUCCAGGAAAAGCCUCUAAGCAUCAGGUAACAUCAAAUCGUACCCCAAACCGACACAGGUGGUCAGGUAGAGAAUACCAAGGCGCUUGAGAGAACUCGGGUGAAGGAACUAGGCAAAAUGGUGCCGUAACUUCGGGAGAAGGCACGCUGACACGUAGGUGAAGUGAUUUACUCAUGGAGCUGAAGUCAGUCGAAGAUACCAGCUGGCUGCAACUGUUUAUUAAAAACACAGCACUGUGCAAACACGAAAGUGGACGUAUACGGUGUGACGCCUGCCCGGUGCCGGAAGGUUAAUUGAUGGGGUCAGCGCAAGCGAAGCUCCUGAUCGAAGCCCCGGUAAACGGCGGCCGUAACUAUAACGGUCCUAAGGUAGCGAAAUUCCUUGUCGGGUAAGUUCCGACCUGCACGAAUGGCGUAAUGAUGGCCAGGCUGUCUCCACCCGAGACUCAGUGAAAUUGAACUCGCUGUGAAGAUGCAGUGUACCCGCGGCAAGACGGAAAGACCCCGUGAACCUUUACUAUAGCUUGACACUGAACAUUGAGCCUUGAUGUGUAGGAUAGGUGGGAGGCUUUGAAGUGUGGACGCCAGUCUGCAUGGAGCCGACCUUGAAAUACCACCCUUUAAUGUUUGAUGUUCUAACGUGGACCCGUUACCCGGGUUGCGGACAGUGUCUGGUGGGUAGUUUGACUGGGGCGGUCUCCUCCUAAAGAGUAACGGAGGAGCACGAAGGUUGGCUAAUCCUGGUCGGACAUCAGGAGGUUAGUGCAAUGGCAUAAGCCAGCUUGACUGCGAGCGUGACGGCGCGAGCAGGUGCGAAAGCAGGUCAUAGUGAUCCGGUGGUUCUGAAUGGAAGGGCCAUCGCUCAACGGAUAAAAGGUACUCCGGGGAUAACAGGCUGAUACCGCCCAAGAGUUCAUAUCGACGGCGGUGUUUGGCACCUCGAUGUCGGCUCAUCACAUCCUGGGGCUGAAGUAGGUCCCAAGGGUAUGGCUGUUCGCCAUUUAAAGUGGUACGCGAGCUGGGUUUAGAACGUCGUGAGACAGUUCGGUCCCUAUCUGCCGUGGGCGCUGGAGAACUGAGGGGGGCUGCUCCUAGUACGAGAGGACCGGAGUGGACGCAUCACUGGUGUUCGGGUUGUCAUGCCAAUGGCACUGCCCGGUAGCUAAAUGCGGAAGAGAUAAGUGCUGAAAGCAUCUAAGCACGAAACUUGCCCCGAG
Molecule: ribosomal RNA, 2065 nt
Filed under: Salmonella enterica subsp. enterica serovar Enteritidis
Lineage: Bacteria; Pseudomonadati; Pseudomonadota; Gammaproteobacteria; Enterobacterales; Enterobacteriaceae
Description: partial 23S ribosomal RNA
Rfam family: Bacterial large subunit ribosomal RNA
Source: RNAcentral